Molecule: ribosomal RNA, 492 nt
Filed under: uncultured bacterium
Lineage: Bacteria
Description: partial 16S ribosomal RNA
Rfam family: Bacterial small subunit ribosomal RNA
Source: RNAcentral
AGUGAACGCUGGCGGUAGGCCUAACACAUGCAAGUCGAGCGGCAGCACAGUAAGAGCUUGCUCUUACGGGUGGCGAGUGGCGGACGGGUGAGGAAUACAUCGGAAUCUACUUUUUCGUGGGGGAUAACGUAGGGAAACUUACGCUAAUACCGCAUACGACCUACGGGUGAAAGCAGGGGAUCUUCGGACCUUGCGCGAUUGAAUGAGCCGAUGUCGGAUUAGCUAGUUGGCGGGGUAAAGGCCCACCAAGGCGACGAUCCGUAGCUGGUCUGAGAGGAUGAUCAGCCACACUGGAACUGAGACACGGUCCAGACUCCUACGGGAGGCAGCAGUGGGGAAUAUUGGACAAUGGGCGCAAGCCUGAUCCAGCCAUACCGCGUGGGUGAAGAAGGCCUUCGGGUUGUAAAGCCCUUUUGUUGGGAAAGAAAAGCAGCAGGUUAAUACCCCACUGUUCUGACGGUACCCAAAGAAUAAGCACCGGCUAACUUCGUG